UACGUAGGGGGCAAGCGUUGUCCGGAUUUAUUGGGCGUAAAGAGCGUGUAGGCGGCCAUACAGGUCCGUUGUGAAAACUCGAGGCUUAACCUCGAGACGUCGAUGGAAACCGUAUGGCUAGAGUCCGGAAGAGGAGAGUGGAAUUCCUGGUGUAGCGGUGAAAUGCGCAGAUAUCAGGAAGAACACCCGUGGCGAAGGCGGCUCACUGGCCCGGUACUGACGCUGAGGUGCGAAAGCGUGGGGAGCAAACAGG
RNAcentral lists this ribosomal RNA (253 nucleotides) under uncultured bacterium. RNAcentral describes it as "partial 16S ribosomal RNA". It matches the Rfam family "Bacterial small subunit ribosomal RNA", at positions 524 to 776 of the family's 1533-position model. The record is from RNAcentral.